This is a long non-coding RNA of Polistes canadensis, 290 nucleotides long. RefSeq lists it as uncharacterized. The transcript is spliced from 2 exons. The record is from RefSeq and is a predicted model, not a curated record. Lineage: Eukaryota; Metazoa; Arthropoda; Insecta; Hymenoptera; Vespidae.
AUCUUUUAUUUCUUUUAAUUACAAUUGUUUUUUUUUUUUUUUAAUCAGAGAACGGGGAGGGAAAAGAAAAACACGCGUUGGAUUAUUUACGCCACGCACACGUUUAACAAACACGAGGUGACUUUUAACCAUAUGCUCGUAACUUGCUAAGUUAGAGUAUACUUUGAACUGCCGGGGGAACGGAUGAUGGACACGCGAGAAUACAGUCUCGAGAAUAAAGUCUUACCAACCAAACAACGAUAUAACUACUAUGAAUUGCAAAAAAAAAAAAAGAGAGAGAGAGAAAAAAA